This 460-nucleotide ribosomal RNA is filed under the name uncultured bacterium. RNAcentral describes it as "partial 16S ribosomal RNA". It matches the Rfam family "Bacterial small subunit ribosomal RNA", at positions 338 to 795 of the family's 1533-position model. The record is from RNAcentral.
CCUACGGGCGGCUGCAGUGAGGAAUAUUGGUCAAUGGGCGGAAGUCUGAACCAGCCAAGUAGCGUGCAGGAAGACGGCUCUAUGAGUUGUAAACUGCUUUUAUACAGGGAUAAAGCUGCUUACGUGUAUUGCUUUGAAUGUACCGUAUGAAUAAGGAUCGGCUAAUUCGGUGCCAGCAGCCGCGGUAAUACGGAGGGUCCGGGCGUUGUCCGGAUUUAUUGGGUUUAAAGGGCGCGUAGGCUGCAUGUUAAGCGGGCUGUGAAAUGUCCGGGCUCAACCCGGGCCUGGCACAGCGAACUGGCGGGCUUGAGUCCGCGGAAAGCAGGCGGAAUUCGUCGUGUAGCGGUGAAAUGCGUAGAUAUGACGAAGAACCCCGAUUGCGAAGGCAGCUUGCUGGAGAGGAACUGACGCUGAGGCUCGAAAGCGAGGGUAUCGAACAGGAUUAGAUACCCCUGUAGUC